RNAcentral lists this ribosomal RNA (450 nucleotides) under uncultured bacterium. RNAcentral's name for it is "partial 16S ribosomal RNA". It matches the Rfam family "Bacterial small subunit ribosomal RNA", at positions 354 to 796 of the family's 1533-position model. The record is from RNAcentral.
GUGGGGAAUAUUGGACAAUGGGCGAAAGCCUGAUCCAGCCAUGCCGCGUGUGUGAAGAAGGUCUUCGGAUUGUAAAGCACUUUAAGUUGGGAGGAAGGGCAGUAAGUUAAUACCUUGCUGUUUUGACGUUACCGACAGAAUAAGCACCGGCUAACUUCGUGCCAGCAGCCGCGGUAAUACGAAGGGUGCAAGCGUUAAUCGGAAUUACUGGGCAUAAAGCGCGCGUAGGUGGUUUUGUAAGUUGGAGGUGAAAUCCACGGGCUCAACCUGGGAACUGCCACCAAAACUGCAUGACUAGAGUACGGUCGAGGCUAGUGGAAUUUCCUGUGUAGCGGUGAAAUGCGUAGAUAUAGGAAGGAACACCAGUGGCGAAGGCGACUACCUAGACUGAUACUAACACUGAGGUGCGAAAGCGUGGGGAGCAAACAGGAUUAGAAACCCGAGUAGUCC